RNAcentral lists this unclassified non-coding RNA (345 nucleotides) under soil metagenome. Its description in RNAcentral is "partial contains 5.8S ribosomal RNA, internal transcribed spacer 2, and large subunit ribosomal RNA". The stretch from base 1 to 119 matches the Rfam family "5.8S ribosomal RNA", at positions 35 to 154 of the family's 154-position model. The record is from RNAcentral.
GAUGAAGAACGCAGCGAAAUGCGAUACGUAAUGUGAAUUGCAAAUUCAGUGAAUCAUCGAGUCUUUGAACGCACAUUGCGCCCCCUGGUAUUCCGGGGGGCAUGCCUGUCCGAGCGUCAUUGCUGCCCUCAAGCUCGGCUUGUGUGUUGGGCCCCGUCCUCCGAUCCCGGGGGACGGGCCCGAAAGGCAGCGGCGGCACCGCGUCCGGUCCUCGAGCGUAUGGGGCUUUGUCACCCGCUCUGUAGGCCCGGCCGGCGCUUGCCGAUCAACCCAAAUUUUUAUCCAGGUUGACCUCGGAUCAGGUAGGGAUACCCGCUGAACUUAAGCAUAUCAAUAAGCGGAGGA